GGGGACUCGUGAGAGACUGCCGGGGUCAACUCGGAGGAAGGUGGGGAUGACGUCAAGUCAUCAUGCCCCUUAUGUCCAGGGCUUCACACAUGCUACAAUGGCCGGUACAAAGGGCUGCGAUGCCGUGAGGUGGAGCGAAUCCUUUCAAAGCCGGUCUCAGUUCGGAUCGGGGUCUGCAACUCGACCCCGUGAAGUCGGAGUCGCUAGUAAUCGCAGAUCAGCAACGCUGCGGUGAAUACGUUCCCGGGCCUUG
Molecule: ribosomal RNA, 253 nt
Filed under: Mycobacterium sp. ITM-2017-0098
Lineage: Bacteria; Bacillati; Actinomycetota; Actinomycetes; Mycobacteriales; Mycobacteriaceae
Description: partial 16S ribosomal RNA
Rfam family: Bacterial small subunit ribosomal RNA
Source: RNAcentral